GUUCAAACUUGCCCCAUUUUCAGUCAACACGUUCUCUGUUUUUCCCUCUCAUCCAUUAAAUAAACAUCAAAUUCUCAACAAAAAUUACUUGUUUUUCUUCUGCAAUUUGUAGAAUAAUGAACAUGGAUAUGGAGGAAGAAAUGUGUACAACACCAAAAAAUCAAGAAUAUCGAAUUCAAACGCCAUUAGAGUGUCCACCGGCUCCGAAGAAGAAGAAGAAUGAAAACAGAGCAGCAGCGAAAAGGUACAAAAAGCCCAAAAUUACAGCCUAUUUUCAUUCUCCUGAUCUUGAUGCAUUUUUUGGCGGAGACGGAGCUAGAGUUUUAGUUAUGAGUCCCGCAAUUCAAUAAUCGGGAACUCUCUUAUCUAGAAUUUCAGCAAACUAUUAUUUCUAUGAUUUCGGAUCCAAUAAGUUGUUAUUUUUCUUUUUUUAGAAAAAUUCAUAAAUUUUAAAUUUUAAAUUUAUGAUAGUUAUUUAAUUUAGCGAGGUUGUAAAAUAGCAUAUAAAGUUUGUUUGUUUG
This 521-nucleotide unclassified non-coding RNA is filed under the name Hevea brasiliensis (rubber tree). Lineage: Eukaryota; Viridiplantae; Streptophyta; Magnoliopsida; Malpighiales; Euphorbiaceae. The record is from RNAcentral.